This 209-nucleotide long non-coding RNA is filed under the name Carica papaya (papaya). Its description in RNAcentral is "long non-coding RNA (CPAP_LNC000795)". Lineage: Eukaryota; Viridiplantae; Streptophyta; Magnoliopsida; Brassicales; Caricaceae. The record is from RNAcentral.
GCAAGUAUGACCUUCUGUUUAAGAACCACCCCAAGAGUUGCGAAGGCCUUCUCCGCCUCUGUCAACCAGUACUCUACUUCUUCAAAAGUGGAUGCCCCUGCAAAAGUAGAUGGGUUAAGUCUCUUGUACCUCUUAAUAUAGCCUGAGUCCAUCACGGGUGAAACUGAGUCCUAUGGAAGAGGGACUGGAUUAAGUUGGGGAGGGACCAG